AUUUAAAAGAAGAAAAACUACCACAACAAGAGGACAUGGUCUUAAAUUAGAGGGACAAAGGUUUAAAAAUAUCAGGAAGUAUUACUUUACUGAGAGGGUAGUGGAUGCAUGGAAUAGCCUUACAGCUGAAGUGGUAGAGGUUAACACAGUAAAGGAGUUUAAGCAUGCGUGGGAUAGGCAUAAGGCUAUCCUAACUAUAAGAUAAGGCCAGGGACUAAUGAAAGUAUUUAGAAAAUUGGGCAGACUAGAUGGGCCAAAUGGUUCU
This 265-nucleotide long non-coding RNA is filed under the name Pelobates cultripes (western spadefoot toad). Lineage: Eukaryota; Metazoa; Chordata; Amphibia; Anura; Pelobatidae. The record is from RNAcentral.